CGGUAAUUCCAGCUCCAAUAGCGUAUACUAAAGUUGUUGCAGUUAAAAAGCUCGUAGUUGGAUUUCUGCGGGGACGGAGCGGCCGGACGCAACUUGCGUCUCGAGCUAGCGCUUUCCCCGCAUCCUGCCGCGAACCGUGCUACCAUUAGUUUGGUGGCGCUGGGGAUCGGCUCGAUUACUUUGAGAAAAAUAGAGUGUUCAAAGCAGGCCACACGCCUUGAAUAAGUUAGCAUGGAAUAAUGACUAAGGACUUUGGUUCUUUUCGUUGGUGUUCGGGACUGAAGUAAUGAUUGAUAGGGACAGUUGGGGCGGUCCGUAUUCCAAAGCGAGAGGUGAAAUUCUUAGACCUUCGGAAGACGAACAGCUGCGAAAGCGUUCCGCAAGGAUGUUCCCUUUGAUCAAGAACGAAAGUUGGGGGAUCGAAGACGAUCAGAUACCGUCGUAGUCUCAACUAUAAACUAUACCAGCUAGGGAUCGGCCAACGUUUAAUUAUUCGACUUGGUCGGCACCUUAUGAGAAAUCAAAGCAUCUGGGUUCCGGGGGGAGUAUGGUCGCAAGGCUGAAACUUAAAGGAAUUGACGGAAGGGCACCACCAGGCGUGGAGCCUGUGGCUUAAUUUGACUCAACACGGGAAAAUUUACCAGGUCCAGACAUAGGAAGGAUUGACAGAUUGAUAGCUCUUUCUUGAUUCUGUGGGUGGUGGUGCAUGGCCGUUUUUAGUCGGUGAAGUGAUUUGUCUGCUUAAUUGCGUUAACGGACGAGACCCCAGCCUGCUAAAUAGCGCGGCCGAGCUUUGCUCGGUACGAGCUUCUUAGAGGGACCAUGAUGCGCGAUAGCACAAGGAAGUUUGGGGCAACAACAGGUCUGUGAUGCCCUUAGAUGUUCUGGUCCGCACACGGGCUACACUGGCGCCUGCAACGAGCAUAUCAGCUGGCCCGAGAGGGUCUUGGCUAAUCUUUGGAACCGGCGCCGUGCUUGGGAUUGACCAUUGCAAUUGUUGGUCAUGCAACGAGGAAUGCCUUGUAAACGCGAGUCAUCAGCUCGCAUUGAAUACGUCCCUGCCCUUUGUACACACCGCCCGUCGCUCCUACCGAUGAAUGUUCCGAUGAAAUUUUCGGAGAGCGCCGGAGAACGGGGCUCUGCCCUGCAGAACUGGAGGCUCAAAGUCACUUAAAUCUGAACAUUUCGAGGAAGGAGAAGUCGUAACAAGGUAACC
RNAcentral lists this ribosomal RNA (1216 nucleotides) under uncultured Rhizaria. RNAcentral describes it as "SSU rRNA". It matches the Rfam family "Eukaryotic small subunit ribosomal RNA", at positions 577 to 1804 of the family's 1831-position model. The record is from RNAcentral.